Molecule: ribosomal RNA, 1161 nt
Filed under: Triticum aestivum (bread wheat)
Lineage: Eukaryota; Viridiplantae; Streptophyta; Magnoliopsida; Poales; Poaceae
Description: partial small subunit ribosomal RNA
Source: RNAcentral
AUGUCGGCACCAACACCUACUCCCUGUGGUUCCAAGAGUGCGAGAGGCAACGGGAAUGGUGUCGACAGGCUCAGCAGCCUGUCCGACGAUAUGCUCCACCUUGUGAUGUCCUUCCUGCCGAUGCCAGAGGUCGUGCGCACAAGCCUUCUCUCACCAAGAUGGCGCUUUCUUUGGUGCUCUACACCCUUCAUCCGCAUCGACGGCGAAGACUUCGUGGAUAAUCGCAAGCUGGAGAAUUUCAUUGACUGCUUGCUGCUCUUGCGUGACUAUACCGCUUCCUUGGAUGAAGCCCGAAUCUCUCCCUGCUGCGUUGAUUGUACCAAAUGUUCCGUGUGGAUUCGCCAUGCCAUCAUGCACAAAGUUCGUCUCCUUGAUAUUUCUGGACCUCUCAGUUUGGAUAAGACAGCAAUAUUUCCUUCUCAGCACCUCAAAACAAUCAGGCUCCAAGCUGCCAUGUUGAGACAUGGGUUUUUUAGGCCGUUGAACUACGACUGCCCUGUGCUUGAACAUUUAGGGCUGGAGUUGUGCACUUUCUGGGGCCAUGAGGAGAUCUCAUCAAGGUCGCUCAAGGUUCUGCAUAUCAGUCGGUGCUACCUCACCCCCAGUCUCCUGAUUUGUGCUAGGAACCUUACCAAUCUCUCUAUCCUUGACACAGACAUUGGUGGUAUAGUAACUAGGGAUCUGUCUUCUCUGGUAACAGCUUCGAUCAGUCUAAUAUCCAAACAUUUUUAUCAUAGUGACACAGUAGUAGUGGGGCAUCAUCUACUUGAUGGCCUUUCACAUGCCACAACGUUGGAGCUGCAUGCGCCAUUACAUGAGCGUGCAUUUGAGAGAGGUUUGCCAACAUGCCCCAUGUUCAGCAAUCUGACAAGCUUGGUCCUGGGAGAUUGGGUCAUGACUGCUGACUUCUACCCACUGCACAGUAUUCUCCAGCGCUCGGACAAUCUGAAGGAGCUAACUGUGAAGCUCAAAAUGGAGGAGUGCAGCAUAUGCAAAGCCUUGCCGUUAACAAGGAGAGCGUCGCUGUCGGGCUCAGGCAGCCACCCUUGCAUCGAGAGGAUCAAAAUCUACUGCCAGAAAGAUCAUCUGAGGGUCGGUGAGCUGGUGCAGGCGUUGGUACCGACUGCCUGCAAUGCGAAAGUCAGCAUCGAGCGGCCCUGA